AAGUCGUAACAAGGUCUCCGUUGGUGAACCAGCGGAGGGAUCAUUACCGAGUUUACAACUCCCAAACCCAAUGUGAACGUUACCAAACUGUUGCCUCGGCGGGAUCUCUGCCCCGGGUGCGUCGCAGCCCCGGACCAAGGCGCCCGCCGGAGACCCAAAACUCUUGUAUUUCUUUAGUAUCUUCUGAGUAAACAAGCAAAUAAAUUAAAACUUUCAACAACGGAUCUCUUGGUUCUG
This 237-nucleotide unclassified non-coding RNA is filed under the name Trichoderma sp. RNAcentral's name for it is "partial internal transcribed spacer region". The stretch from base 1 to 46 matches the Rfam family "Eukaryotic small subunit ribosomal RNA", at positions 1786 to 1831 of the family's 1831-position model. The record is from RNAcentral. Lineage: Eukaryota; Fungi; Ascomycota; Sordariomycetes; Hypocreales; Hypocreaceae.